UCAAAUGAAUUGACGGGGCCCGCACAAGCGGAGGAACAUGUGGUUUAAUUCGAUGAUACGCGAGGAACCUUACCUGGGCUUAAAUGCAGAGUGCAUGAAGUGGAAACACUUCUUCCCUUCGGGGCUCUUUGCAAGGUGCUGCAUGGUUGUCGUCAGCUCGUGCCGUGAGGUGUCGGGUUAAGUCCCAUAACGAGCGCAACCCUUAUCGUUAGUUGCCAGCGGGUAAAGCCGGGAACUCUAGCGAAACUGCCGGUGUAAACCGAGAGGAGGGUGGGGAUGACGUCAAAUCAGCACGGCCCUUAUGUCCAGGGCUACACACGUGCUACAAUGGGCGGUACAAAGGGUCGCGAACCCGCGAGGGGGAGCCAAUCCCACAAAGCCGAUCGUAGUCCGGAUCGCAGUCUGCAACUCGACUGCGUGAAGUCGGAAUCGCUAGUAAUCGUGGAUCAGCAUGUCACGGUGAAUACGUUCCCGGGUCUU
RNAcentral lists this ribosomal RNA (480 nucleotides) under uncultured Sphingobacteriales bacterium. RNAcentral describes it as "bacterial SSU rRNA". It matches the Rfam family "Bacterial small subunit ribosomal RNA", at positions 901 to 1382 of the family's 1533-position model. Lineage: Bacteria; Pseudomonadati; Bacteroidota; Sphingobacteriia; Sphingobacteriales. The record is from RNAcentral.